Molecule: transfer RNA, 77 nt
Filed under: Mucinivorans hirudinis
Lineage: Bacteria; Pseudomonadati; Bacteroidota; Bacteroidia; Bacteroidales; Rikenellaceae
Description: tRNA-His (GTG) (tRNA-His-GTG-1-1)
Rfam family: tRNA
About the family: Transfer RNA (tRNA) molecules are approximately 80 nucleotides in length. Their secondary structure includes four short double-helical elements and three loops (D, anti-codon, and T loops). Further hydrogen bonds mediate the characteristic L-shaped molecular structure. tRNAs have two regions of fundamental functional importance: the anti-codon, which is responsible for specific mRNA codon recognition, and the 3' end, to which the tRNAs corresponding amino acid is attached (by aminoacyl-tRNA synthetases). tRNAs cope with the degeneracy of the genetic code in two manners: having more than one tRNA (with a specific anti-codon) for a particular amino acid; and 'wobble' base-pairing, i.e. permitting non-standard base-pairing at the 3rd anti-codon position.
Source: RNAcentral
GUGGACGUAGCUCAGCAGGUUAGAGCACCAGAUUGUGGUUCUGGGGGUCGUGGGUUCGAGCCCCAUCUUCCACCCCA